GACAAAGCAGGAUGCUUCUCAGCUUCUGUGAACAUGUCCACCUUCAACCUCACUGGCUAUAUGUACAGACACAGCAUCAAUAUUGUGACUACUGUGGUGGAGGAAGGGACAGGCGUGGAGGCCAAUGGCACUCAGGAAAUCUACAUUUCUUCACAAAUAGGAUCAAUGACCUUUGAAGACACCAAUAAUUAUUAUUACCCCAAUUUUCCCUUCAGUGGGAAGGUAUGUUGAAGUCUGUCUCUGCACAGACAAAAAUAAAUGCUUAACUACUGCCUCCUUUCUGUAGACAUAUCAAAAUAAAACUACCAGCAUUGUU
Long non-coding RNA from Myotis brandtii (Brandt's bat), 316 nucleotides. RefSeq lists it as uncharacterized. NCBI's taxonomy places the organism in Eukaryota, Metazoa, Chordata, Mammalia, Chiroptera, Vespertilionidae. The record is from RefSeq and is a predicted model, not a curated record. The transcript has 2 exons.